Molecule: ribosomal RNA, 465 nt
Filed under: Vreelandella stevensii
Lineage: Bacteria; Pseudomonadati; Pseudomonadota; Gammaproteobacteria; Oceanospirillales; Halomonadaceae
Description: partial 16S ribosomal RNA
Rfam family: Bacterial small subunit ribosomal RNA
Source: RNAcentral
CCUACGGGCGGCAGCAGUGGGGAAUAUUGGACAAUGGGGGGAACCCUGAUCCAGCCAUGCCGCGUGUGUGAAGAAGGCCCUCGGGUUGUAAAGCACUUUCAGUGAGGAAGAACGCCUGGUGGUUAAUACCCAUCAGGAAAGACAUCACUCACAGAAGAAGCACCGGCUAACUCCGUGCCAGCAGCCGCGGUAAUAUGGAGGGUGCGAGCGUUAAUCGGAAUUACUGGGCGUAAAGCGCGCGUAGGUGGCUUGAUAAGCCGGUUGUGAAAGCCCCGGGCUCAACCUGGGAACGGCAUCCGGAACUGUCAAGCUAGAGUGCAGGAGAGGAAGGUAGAAUUCCCGGUGUAGCGGUGAAAUGCGUAGAGAUCGGGAGGAAUACCAGUGGCGAAGGCGGCCUUCUGGACUGACACUGACACUGAGGUGCGAAAGCGUGGGUAGCAAACAGGAUUAGAUACCCGAGUAGUC